AUACUUGUAGAAUUAGUAAUUGAUCAAGACGGAAUCUGUCAACUUUAGUAAUAAGUUUAAACUCUAUGUUAUCAUUUAUUAAAAUAACUAAAUUAAGAUCUUGGUCAUGGCAAUUGAAUGGAAAGAAAAAAAGAGUUUUUUAUAUCAUUCAUUAAUCAGUUGUAAUUGACAUUAGACAUGGUUGGUUACCUAAUGGAAUUUGACA
Molecule: long non-coding RNA, 205 nt
Filed under: Carica papaya (papaya)
Lineage: Eukaryota; Viridiplantae; Streptophyta; Magnoliopsida; Brassicales; Caricaceae
Description: long non-coding RNA (CPAP_LNC004960)
Source: RNAcentral